ACUUCCUUCUUUUUCUUAUCACGAUUAUGAUAUUCUAUAUCAAUCUCCCUUCAAGGAACACAAUGUGUACUGCUGCAGCACACAUAAAGUUUUCUAUAAGAAGAAAGAGUAUCAUUUGGUUUUGAAGUUGGGCCAUUUCAAAAGGACAGCCUUUGUCAACGUUUUUGUUCAUUAUGCGCCGAAGACGAAAGACUCAAUUUAAGAGAGUGGCGGAACACUUUAUCCCAGGCUCCAGAGCGACGGGCUGACAGGCACAGACUAACAAUUAAGGAGCACAGGGGCCACUGUUCGGUAAAUGUAAUGAUGAGACUUGCAUGCUUUCUUUAUUUACCCCUUUGUUUGUUCUCACCUUCUAUACUUAAGUACUUAUUGACUGUGCCCUUUUUGUGCUGGUGAGAUCAAAGGUGUGGCAGGCUUGGAAAAACAGCUUCGCUUACCAACACCAGUCACUCAUCUAAGGGCCCAGAGGAAGCCAGGGUCAGCUGACUGAUUACAGCAGCCUCUAAGCUAGAACCAUUUUUAUUUUUUUUUUCUUCUUCUGAAAUGACUUGCUUAAUUUCACA
This 563-nucleotide long non-coding RNA is filed under the name Lepisosteus oculatus (spotted gar). RNAcentral's name for it is "lncRNA (ENSLOCG00000021142.1)". The record is from RNAcentral. Lineage: Eukaryota; Metazoa; Chordata; Actinopteri; Semionotiformes; Lepisosteidae.